UACAGAGGUCUCAAGCGUUGUUCGGAUUCAUUGGGCGUAAAGGGUGCGUAGGCGGCGCGGUAAGUCGGGUGUGAAAUCUUGGAGCUUAACUCCGAAACUGCAUUCGAUACUGCCGUGCUUGAGGACUGGAGAGGAGACUGGAAUUUACGGUGUAGCGGUGAAAUGCGUAGAUAUCUGGAGGAACACCGGUGGCGAAGGCGGCAUCCUGGACCGACACUGGCGCUGAGGAGCGAAAGCCAGGGGAGCAAACGGG
This 253-nucleotide ribosomal RNA is filed under the name uncultured bacterium. RNAcentral describes it as "partial 16S ribosomal RNA". It matches the Rfam family "Bacterial small subunit ribosomal RNA", at positions 524 to 776 of the family's 1533-position model. The record is from RNAcentral.